AGAGUUUGAUCAUGGCUCAGAACGUACGCUGGCGGCACGCCUAACACAUGCAAGUCGAACGAAGUAGCAAUACUUAGUGGCAGACGGGUGAGUAACAUGUAGGUAUCUGCCCUUUGGCCUGGAAUAACACGAGGAAACUUGUGCUAAUACCGGAUAAGUCUUUACGGAGAAAGCUUUAUGCACCAUUGGAUGAGCCUGCACUUGAUUAGUUUGUUGGUGGGGUAAUGGCCUACCAAGACUGUGAUCAAUAGCUGAUUUGAGAGGAUGAUCAGCCACAUUGGGACUGAGACACGGCCCAAACUCCUACGGGAGGCAGCAGUGGGGAAUCUUGCACAAUGGAGGAAACUCUGAUGCAGCGAUGCCGCGUGAGUGAUGAAGGCCCUUGGGUUGUAAAGCUCUUUCGUCGGGGAAGAAAAUGACUGUACCCGAAUAAGAAGGUCCGGCUAACUUCGUGCCAGCCGCCGCGGUAAUUC
RNAcentral lists this ribosomal RNA (473 nucleotides) under uncultured bacterium. Its description in RNAcentral is "bacterial SSU rRNA". It matches the Rfam family "Bacterial small subunit ribosomal RNA", at positions 8 to 526 of the family's 1533-position model. The record is from RNAcentral.